Molecule: ribosomal RNA, 245 nt
Filed under: uncultured bacterium
Lineage: Bacteria
Description: partial 16S ribosomal RNA
Rfam family: Bacterial small subunit ribosomal RNA
Source: RNAcentral
AUGGCGACCGGCGCACGGGUGAGUAACACGUAUCCAACCUGCCGAUAACUCGGGGAUAGCCUUUCGAAAGAAAGAUUAAUACCCGAUGGCAUAAUUAGACCGCAUGGUCUUAUGAUUAAAGAAUUUCGGUUAUCGAUGGGGAUGCGUUCCAUUAGGCAGUUGGUGAGGUAACGGCUCACCAAACCUUCGAUGGAUAGGGGUUCUGAGAGGAAGGUCCCCCACAUUGGAACUGAGACACGGCCCAA